UUUCUCUCAGGCUCCAAACCUAAGAAGCCAUUUCUACCACACCCUCCUGAGUUGAAUCAAGUGACAAAGAUGUAGGCGCUGACAUUCAAGCUUAUAAUACCAUGGCCAGCUCCUGUAUGAAUCAGCCCAGGUUGAUUCAGGAGGUGGGACGCAGGAGAGAUCAUAUUCUAAGAUUGGAUGACCUAAGCUACCAUCUUCCUCCUCGUAGGCACCUUUCUGACUCAGAUCCUGCAUAUGUAUCAGAACUUCUUUCAUUUGUUCUCCACUUGUAGCUACAUUUAAGAAAAGAGAUAUGAGAAGAAAUUGAGCAUCAUGUAAUGAUAGGAAAACAUUCCCAGCAAGACGAUUCCCAGCAGUGCUUGUACGUCACAUAGUUCUCACCAUGAUUGGGAGAGUUUCAAAGGGGAGUGAAUCAAUCACACCAAAACAUGUGCCAUUCACACAAUACAAGAGAAGCCCCUCUGGAAUGGUGGGAUAUGGACCUCCAAAAAGCCACUUCUCCCUUACGCGAAUGAGAACACUGACAAAAAUCAUGAAAAUCAGCAUUUUCAGAACUCUGGAUAUUAACCAAAAGCUUGAAACAGUCCUUUGAAUAUUUACACAGGAAAAACAGCUAAAUCUCAGUAAGAACUGCAAGUUUCACGGCUUUUAUCUCUUCCUGUCCCCAUCCCCAUCUCUCCAGCUCUACCAUGGCCAUGACAAACAGCCUCACAAUCACAGUAGCUAUGAAAACUAGCAGCCUAGCAGCCACUGGAGGAGGCAGAACAGAACGCUUUCCAAAUUCCUACUUUAUUUUACACUCACAAUGACCUUAUUAAAUGGCUAAAGCAGAUGAGGAUAGACUGGACAAUCCUGAGACCCAGAGAAGCUGACUUUUAUAUGAUCAGAAUUUGAGUCUGAGAUAAAGUAAAAUUUAAUUACUUCAAGCUAAUGCCAGAAAGGAUGAAGAUGGAUUCACCUCUUCAGAGAUGCUUAUGCUUUCUGCUUUAAAAUAAAAAUGCUAUUCCCGUGC
Molecule: long non-coding RNA, 1012 nt
Filed under: Equus caballus (horse)
Lineage: Eukaryota; Metazoa; Chordata; Mammalia; Perissodactyla; Equidae
Description: lncRNA (ENSECAG00000031690.3)
Source: RNAcentral